UGAGGAAUAUUGGUCAAUGGGCGAGAGCCUGAACCAGCCAAGUAGCGUGCAGGAUGACGGCCCUAUGGGUUGUAAACUGCUUUUAUGCGGGGAUAAAGUGUACCAUGUAUGGUGUUUUGCAGGUACCGCAUGAAUAAGGACCGGCUAAUUCCGUGCCAGCAGCCGCGGUAAUACGGAAGGUCCGGGCGUUAUCCGGAUUUAUUGGGUUUAAAGGGAGCGUAGGCCGUUUUUUAAGCGUGUUGUGAAAUGCCGCGGCUCAACCGUGGCACUGCAGCGCGAACUGGUACUUGAC
Molecule: ribosomal RNA, 292 nt
Filed under: uncultured Prevotella sp.
Lineage: Bacteria; Pseudomonadati; Bacteroidota; Bacteroidia; Bacteroidales; Prevotellaceae
Description: partial 16S ribosomal RNA
Rfam family: Bacterial small subunit ribosomal RNA
Source: RNAcentral